GACCACACCAUGGAUAUUCCAGGCUGCCUUCUGUAUACCAAGACUGGCUCCGCCCCACACCUCACCCAUCACACGCUGCAUAAUAUCCACAGGGUUCCUGCCAUGGCUCAGCUUACGCUGUCAUCCCUAGCAGAACAUCAUGAAGUCUUGACAGAAUAUAAAGAAGGAGUUGGAAAGUUUAUAGGCAUGCCAGAAUCACUCUUGUACUGCUCCCUGCACGAUCCAGUCAGCCCCUGCCCAGCUGGUUAUGUAACAAACAAGGUGUGUUUUCAGAAGGGUCUCCAAGGCUGCAGCUUUGUCCCAGGAAGUCAGCCUAUGGUGUAUCCCUCAGAUGCUCAGAUCCCGCUGUCUGGGAUGAUCCCUUAUACCUUUUCCUUAUUUCGAUAAUUAUAGUGGGAUGGGAUGGUUUAUAAGACUUAGAGUAGGGCUGCCUAAGGAUGAGGUUAAGAUGAAGAACACUGUAUCCUCAGCAUUUUCAUUGUUGCAAAAAAAUUUGAGGGUAGAGGAGGGUCAAAUACAUGC
This 522-nucleotide small RNA is filed under the name Pan troglodytes (chimpanzee). Its description in RNAcentral is "retained intron". The record is from RNAcentral. Lineage: Eukaryota; Metazoa; Chordata; Mammalia; Primates; Hominidae.